Molecule: ribosomal RNA, 451 nt
Filed under: uncultured bacterium
Lineage: Bacteria
Description: partial 16S ribosomal RNA
Rfam family: Bacterial small subunit ribosomal RNA
Source: RNAcentral
GUGGGGAAUAUUGGACAAUGGGCGCAAGCCUGAUCCAGCCAUGCCGCGUGUGUGAAGAAGGCCUUUUGGUUGUAAAGCACUUUAAGCGAGGAGGAGGCUCCUUUAGUUAAUACCUAAAGAGAGUGGACGUUACUCGCAGAAUAAGCACCGGCUAACUCUGUGCCAGCAGCCGCGGUAAUACAGAGGGUGCGAGCGUUAAUCGGAUUUACUGGGCGUAAAGCGUGCGUAGGCGGCUUUUUAAGUCGGAUGUGAAAUCCCUGAGCUUAACUUAGGAUUUGCAUUCGAUACUGGAAAGCUAGAGUAUGGGAGAGGAUGGUAGAAUUCCAGGUGUAGCGGUGAAAUGCGUAGAGAUCUGGAGGAAUACCGAUGGCGAAGGCAGCCAUCUGGCCUAAUACUGACGCUGAGGUACGAAAGCAUGGGGAGCAAACAGGAUUAGAUACCCUAGUAGUCC